This is a long non-coding RNA of Humulus lupulus (European hop), 1449 nucleotides long. RefSeq lists it as uncharacterized. NCBI's taxonomy places the organism in Eukaryota, Viridiplantae, Streptophyta, Magnoliopsida, Rosales, Cannabaceae. The record is from RefSeq and is a predicted model, not a curated record. The transcript has 3 exons.
UCCAAAUAAAUACUUAGGAGAUAAAAACUAGUCUCCGCGUAGUGUCCCAGAAUUUUACUUAGCUAGAUAGUAGUAGUAGUAGCUAGUAGUAGCUUGUAGUAGGUUAGUUUCCGUGGAUUUUGGUACAAGCCGGGACUUAGUUGGAAACUCAUAGCAACAGUUAUGGAUUUUAUAAGUUUAACCUAUAGUUUAUAAAUAUUAAUUAUAACAUAAGGUUUGAUUAAUAUUGCUGGUCCUAUAAAUAUUAUUCAUUAUAACCUAAGGUUUAGAUAGAAUUAUUAAGCAUGUGACACUUGUCAUAAUCAUGUUUAUUAAGGAUUUAAGUAUUAUGUUGAAUAGUUUAAUUAAAACAAAGAUCUAGAAGCUCUAGAAUCUUCUAGCAGCUGUUAGGAUCACGCUUAGACUCAGUCAAAGUUGUUUAAUCAAUUCAAAAUAUGUUGAAUAAGUGUGUUUGAUAUAUCAACGUAUGACGAUAUAUCGCAACUUUAGGGGCCGAUAUAUCGCCUAUGGAAGAUACGAAAAACACGUCGUCUUUGCACGACCGAAACCACGAAGCAUUGGGAUCAUAGGGGAGGCGAUAUAUCGCCUAUAGGGGCGAUAUAUCGGCCCCACCCUUGCAUUUUUGAACUUCGUGGAAUCUGAGCUUAAAACAUCCCUUAACCUCUUGGACUUGCCUUUGAACGAUUUUGACCGAGUUCUGGGCAUAUGUUGAACGAAAAUUCAAAUCUUUUUCAUUUUGUAUUCAUUUAUAUAUUCAAAUUAAAAUGGGUUAGUUUCACUCCUUGAACUCUAUAAAUAGGACCUAGUACUUAGCCAUUUUCUUCAUUCUUCAAGCAUUUGUUCAGAGCCUCCAAGUUGCUAAGAUUACUAUAGAGAAAAACACUUGAGUUUUGGGUUAAAAAGCUUUAUCAUUCUAAGCUUUUCUAAACACGUGGGAAGUGAGAUAUAGUGAGAUUUCAGUAUCGAGGUUUUGAUCAAUUCAUAAGAUCAUUCAAGGUAUUCUUAUCCCUAAGUUCCAUUCUUUAGUUUUCUUUUAUUUUCUUUUCAGAUCCUAACUCUUGUUUAUAAUUCUUGGUUAGGUGUUUAAGUUUCUUGAAAACUUAAGGUUCUUCUCGGAGUGUUCCAAUCCCGUUCUUGUUCUCAAAUAUCCUGGAUUUUGCUUGAUGCAGGAAAAUGAAUAUGGAAGGCGGAAUGAUUCACGGCUGCUUGGCUUGUGUGUUAAGGAUGAAUGGAUUGAAUGGACUGUGUGUCGAUCGAGGAUGACGUUAUUUUUAAUUCUUUUAAAUUAUGUUUUGAUGUAAUUCCGCUAUUAGUAUUUUAAACAAUUAAAGUCUAUGUUUUAUGUUUUAUAACAAUGGGUACCCAUACCGUAUUUUACAUUUCAUAUUUUACUUUGUAUUUUGCACAAUAUUUGUUUUGGGGUAUUAAAUAAAGUUAUGUUAUUUCUUA